AAAUUAUUCUCAGCACAGCAUUCCUUGGUGGCCUCAGGGGAAGUUAAGGAGCCCACAAGUAUGUAAUCACUCUGUGCCGCUGCUGCCAGUGCAGCGCCUUCUCCCUCGUGGGGGAGGAAUCUGUCACUCUUCCUUUCAUGGAGCACUGUUUCUGCCACUGCUGCAGUGUGGGUGAAACUCCUGAACCUGGACCUUCUAGCAGCCCACUUUCCAACUUUCUGUCCAUCAGCUGAGACAAUUGGUCCAAGAGACACUGGACAGUUCCACACCCCAAAUCCUGGACCAGAGUGAAGCAAUCAGCUACCCCAGGAUGUGACCAGUACCCAGCUUUCUCAGGUCCCCCAAGACUUCGAUGCCCACA
Microtus oregoni (creeping vole) is the source of this 361-nucleotide long non-coding RNA. RefSeq lists it as uncharacterized. The record is from RefSeq and is a predicted model, not a curated record. The transcript is spliced from 3 exons. NCBI's taxonomy places the organism in Eukaryota, Metazoa, Chordata, Mammalia, Rodentia, Cricetidae.